Molecule: ribosomal RNA, 432 nt
Rfam family: Bacterial small subunit ribosomal RNA
ACGGGAGGCAGCAGUGGGGAAUAUUGGGCAAUGGGCGCAAGCCUGACCCAGCAACGCCGCGUGAAGGAAGAAGGCUUUCGGGUUGUAAACUUCUUUUAAGGGGGAAGAGGAGAAGACGGUACCCCUAGAAUAAGCCACGGCUAACUACGUGCCAGCAGCCGCGGUAAUACGUAGGUGGCAAGCGUUGUCCGUAUUUACUGGGUGUAAAGGGCGUGUAGCCGGGGGAGCAAGUCAGAUGUGAAAUCUAUGGGCUUAACCCAUAAACUGCAUUUGAAACUGUAACUCUUGAGUGCUGGAGAGAUAGACGGAAUUCCUUUUGUAGCGGUGAAAUGCGUAGAUAUAAGGAAGAACACCAGUGGCGAAGGCGGUCUACUGGACAGUAACUGACGCUGAGGCGCAAAAGCGUGGGGAGCAAACAGGAUUAGAUUCCCU